This is a long non-coding RNA of Rhipicephalus sanguineus (brown dog tick), 176 nucleotides long. RefSeq lists it as uncharacterized. NCBI's taxonomy places the organism in Eukaryota, Metazoa, Arthropoda, Arachnida, Ixodida, Ixodidae. The transcript is spliced from 2 exons. The record is from RefSeq and is a predicted model, not a curated record.
CGAAUGUCCACUGGACGGGGACAAAUUCCUUGAAAAAGACGUUGAAUGGAGAAUCUUUCCUCUGAAAAAUCUGCUGAGGCGCAAGGUAAAAUGCUGGAACGAGGAAAACGGUUGCGACGCCAUCAUGACUGUUUCAGACAUGCUGAAGCACUUUGAUGAAGAUUGCGUCCGUCACA